UAUAGACAGAGCUCAUGGGGAGGUUUAGAAAAUCCUGUAGAAAAUGUUGCAGUAUCUUUAAUUCAAAUCUUGCACCUGCUCCUAUUUUCAAAUUUACUACCAAGUACUAUUUGGCAAGCCACCGGAGCAUAUUGGGUUCCCAAAAUGUCACCAAUAUGUAAAAGUGACAAGAAAAAGUUUUGGUAUCAGGUGAAAAAUUACAAAAUGUCACCAAUAAAUUAAGGCCAUCGUCUGUGACCUAUCUUACAACAAUGCAUCUUUAUGCUCUUCUUCCACAAUGAUCUGGGAAAUUUGAUUGUUCUGAAGAUCAAUAAGCCCCAGUUGUAAACUGAUGCUAUCUCAAAUUGUUGGUAUGUGACCUUUUGAUGCCUUCUAUGUUUUUACAUGUAGAUGAGAAGGUUGUAGAUUGUUCCAAAAUGGUCAGCACAAUGUAAUAACCUUACGCUAUGAUUGAAUGCGAUGUAUAGGAAACAAAGAGGUAGAAGCAGCCAAUGGGGAUUGACAAGACCCACCCCGAAUUUCACCCUGAAACCCAGAGUAAGUCGUGCGGGGAUUACCUCCAAAGAAAAUUUACCGAAAAAUCGGCAUAACCUCCCUUGAAAAUGGACAACCCUUCCAAAUAAUACCUGCAAACACUUCUGAAAAUUUAAAUCCAACCUUAAACUCCUGGAGCCUCCGUGCUCCCCAAAUCACAACACCACCCAAAUUAUUUACUAAUCUAAACAAAUCUCAUAUCCAACCAUUUAUAGGUUCAGAGCAACUCUAACAGGAAGAAAGGAAACAUAAUAAAUUAACAAGCGGAAGCUAUAUGAUGACUAUGCCUCAUCUCCAUGUACGCCCGACCUUGACUAAGCUAACCUGCAAGCUGGGCAUUUUUAAAACGAAGGGCCCAGGGGAAAACAUUUGAAACACGUUAGAGUGAGUGGACAAAAAUAAAUUAACAAAUAAAAUAUUUAUGUUUCCCCAAAUCAAUUUCCAAGGAAAAUCGAAUGCAUGCUGCAAGCGAUAAAACUUUUUAUCUCAUAAAUAUCGAGCCUCUCAAGCUCUAUAAAAUAUGUAUGUAUUACACACGUCCAUACUCCCUAUAUAAAUUCAUGGGUCUAUAUAGGGCUACUACGCUCGCGUCUAACGCUCACGUCACGCCUUAAUGCGGUGCUACACUACGCCAUUAAGGUGGACAGACGGGUGCAUAAAUAUGUGCCCAUACCCCCUAUAUGAAUUAAAUACUCAUAUAGGGCUACUACGCUCGCGUCCAACGCUCACGUCACACCAUAAUGCGGCUAUAUGCUAUGCCAUUAAGGUGGACAGACACAUAGGGCUAGCUAGCAUUUUUAUACAUACUCUCCUCAUAAAUACAUAUUUAUAUCACCGAAAAUCCCAUUUUCGGUAACUCUCCAAGAGAAAUAAAUCGUCAAAAUCAAAAUGACGUCAAAAUGCUCCAACAAUUUAAAUGUUCAACCAAAACCAUAGCAUGCAUAUUAUUCAAAACCAAAAGUCCACUCACAAAUCUAGGCAUAAGCCCGACGAAAUCCAAAUCGCCACUCCAGAGAGGUUUCCUCGAACCCUGGCACAAAUAUAAAAUUAAUUUCCCAACUAAAAAUCCAAUAUUUAAACAAAAUAGGCAAAAUUAACCGAGAGCCAUACUCACGCUCAUCAUUGCCUAACUUCGAUACGGUCCACACCUCAACACUAAAACCAGCAACCUUAGCUACACCCUUCCACAGAUUAUACGACUUUAAUCCAAGAGCCGGAUUCUAUCCUAUUAAUCCGCCAAAAUUACCAAACUUCGGAAAUUCACAAACCUAACCAAAACUCAUCCAAAAUUCCAUAAUUUACAUNNNNNNNNNNNNNNNNNNNNAAAAUUCCAUAAUUUACAUCAAUAUACUCCCCUUAAUAUUCCACAUUUAAAACUAUACAAACUCCCAAACAGCGGCGGCGGCGCCACCAGUUCCGCCGGCAGCGGCGGCCGGAGGCCGAUUCCGGCGACCUCCAAUGCUCACCAAAUUUAAACAGCAGCUUCCUCUCAACCUACUCUACAACUUUCUUAACUGGCACAACACCCAAUUUCAAGCCUAACUAUGCCAAUCGAACGAAAACAACACAAAAAGCCCUAGAGCUUCCACUCACCGGUUCUCCUUACCUAGACCAAGAGAGGACGUGCUCUUUGGAGGGGUUGCUGCACGGGAGGAGAGCUUUCUUUUGAGCCAAGAAUGGCCGGCUUUGGUGGCCGGAGGAGGGAGUUCCGGCGACCGGAAGUUCUGGGCAGUCAAACCUUUCGGGUGGCACCGCUCCCUCACGAUGGCGCUAGGGCUCCUCUCACCGGUCCAGGGAGGUUGUUGGGUUAGAAGUCGACCGAACGGGACCGGUGCGGCAGCGGUUGGUGGCCGGACGGCGGCGGACGAGCGGCCGGAAGCUUCGGCUGCGGGAAAACUCGGGGAUGAGGCCGGGAGGGAGAGAAGAAGAGAGAGGGAAAAGAAAUGGGUGUUUGGGCCUCACACCCACCCGGUCCAACACCAUAGAACAACCCACUCCAAAAUAAAACACCCCGAAAAAAUAAUACCCGAAAAAAAAUUACCUUUUACUAGCUAAAAUUUACCAUUUUUACCGUCGUCAUUUUUUCCUCCUACAAAUAAUCCUCCGCACAUAACCGUCCCCGAAACCCCUCUAGGGACCAAUUAAAACUAUAACCUCAAUGACGGAGACGGUAAAAUUCUUAUUAUAACCAAGCUAGUAAAUAAGGUAAAAAUUUACGGGUCAGGAUGUGACAAUUCUCCCCUCCUUAUAAAAAUUUCGCCCUCAAAAUUUACAUACCUGACAUUCGAAGAGAUAGGGAUACUGCUACCUCAUUUGCUCCUCUAAUUCCCAAGUAGCUUCCUCUACUUGAUGACUCCUCCACAGAACUUUAACAAGAGGAAAAAGAUUUGCUUCGAAGCACUAGCUCCUUUUGGUCAAGAAUCUGAAUCGGCUCCUCAUCAUAGGCCAAAACUUUUUCCAAUUAAUCGAUUGCUCUCGCAACACAUGAGAGAGAUCGGAAAUAAACUUGCGAAGCAUGGAUACAUGAAACCCAUUAUGUAUCUUGGAUAACUCCGGAGGCAAAACUAACCGAUACGCAAGAGAGCCAACUUGAUCUAAAAACUCAUAAGGACCAAUAAAUCUCAGACCAAGCUUUUCACACUACCAAAACGUACCACCCCUUUCCAAGGACACAAUUUCGAAAACACCCAAACACUCACUUGAAACUCAUGGUCCUUCCUGCGGACAUCUUUAUAACUCUUUUGGCUACUAAGAGCUGCUUUGAGUCUAUCUUUGAUUCCUUUAACCCUUUCAUUUCUCAAAGACUCUAAAUCCUUCGUUGAACUACCACUAACGUUUGCACGUAAGUGAGUUCAGUGAUACCUGCUCCAGAGUACGAGUACCCGUAGGUAUGCACACUCUUUCCUGAGCAAUGGAAAAAGUUAACCCAAAUAAAGCGCAUACAUUUGCUAUCACGAUCGGGCUCAAAUCUCCAAACAUCACGUAACAACCUCAUCAUUACGCUGCUCACAACUCGACGAUGAAGCCCAAUUGCUAGGAAACUAAAGUUCACGCAUUCCCACAUGCUCAUCAUAAGGGUCAAAAUUAAGACCCGCUAAUCAAACAGAUUUAAGGAUGCACACACUGCAGAACUGCAAGAAUCACUACCAAUACCGAGGCACUUUACGGAAUCAAAACUCACACAAUACCGCAAGACAACCCUCUUUUGCUUAAGCGAUUAGUCCAACAAGAGUUAAAACUCAAUUGUCGGAAUGAAAUUAUGAAGUGAUCAAUAACUACGUCACUUAUGUCUCUUCACCAAAACUAUUACAUUACCAUUUUGAGCACUAUGAGAAUUCAACUCUCUCCUAAUUCUGCUAUCUCCACUAUUCUCUUUACCACAAACCAGAAGAUAAUUUGAAACAUGACUAUCAUGUGGAAACUGGAUAUUCCUCCUUGCUCGCCAUAAGCAAAAACGAACUAAUUAUGCCCACGAAAAAAAUUGGCACAGCCAAUUCAUGAUGCCCAACUUGACGUUGAAAUCCACAUAAAUAGAGCACCUUCCUUAAGCAUUGACAAAAUUUACAUCUCCAGCUAUGCUACUUAUUCGGGUACAACCGCGACCCCAUAAUCAAUAAUUAAAAGCACACGGCUCACUCUAGCCGUUCUAGAAGAAUGAUUCUAAAUGCCAAGCCUUUGGACCCGACAAACACAUUUUUAUUUUUUUACCUCAAAUUACAAUUAAUCUGAUUAUAGAAGACGAUCUGAAAAUCAGAUACGCUCAAGUCUCCGACACCUCCCAGGGCCACGGCUUCCCACCAAAAAGAUUUUCUGAUAACCGAGCUUGCAGUACCAUGCAACUAUCAAAUGCCAAGAUAAAUUUUUAUACAAGACCCAUUACUAUACCUUGUGGUUCACCAACCAACGAAAACCAUGAAUUCAAGCAAGAAUCAAAACUCAUGGCUUAACUCAGCUCAAGUUCCAGAAGAAAUGACUUAAAGCACAUGAAAGGCAAGUCCUCUAACUUCGAGCUCAAAAGCUCCACAAAUCUCCAAUAUCCGUCAGAACCCGCUUCGAAAUUGCACUAGAAACCUCCACUAAUCAUGCUGACACCAACGGAUGAACGCACAACCAAAAAAACGAAGACCUCUCUAAUCAAACUUGGAUCAAUGAGUGGUCCCACCACAAUAUGAUCCUGAGAAGAGACGCUAAUCAACCUAUCAAUAAAUUUACUACUUUCAAUAUUAAAACUCUUAAUAAACCUUGACUCUAGACGCUUCUUGAGUCAACAUGGGAAAACCUUCCCCCAUAACGCUACAUCAUAAAAAAUACCUACAACGACACAAACCAUCUUUUCAACAUCACCACACGACUAGCAGACUACCACAUAGGACUUACGACUCCAAGAUUCAUUGCUUAAUUGAACUCCAGCUCAUUUGGGAUCACGACUGGAUUUAUUCCGGAUCCAUGACUACGACACAACUACCAAUUUAUCAUUUACCUCGAAACUUCGACAUAAUAACCAGAAUCUCUACCCUUCAAAUCGAAGCGUUGAAUUCGCAUUCCAUAAUUCAAGCUCUGAGGAUACUACCCAAAAACUACAGUAGGAAUAAUUUAAAUAUUCCCACACACACCAUAACCAAAACUUUACUCCAUCUCACCUAAUUAGAAAUAAGAUGAGAAUAGAUCCUCCCAUUGUUAUGUCGUAGUUAGUCACCCAUUGCGAACGAAAUGAUGUCAACAACCAACUUCGAUCACAAAUUUGAGACUUACAUCAACCACCCGGAAUGACACUGCUAAAAAAAAUACUUUGGACACCCACGCACUUUUGCUCUAUGAUCCAAUGGGUUUUAUUCCACUGCUACCACUUCCACCAACUCCACACAACUGCUAUAGAAUACCUAUGACAAUACGUAAUAAAUUCACCAGGUGUUGUCAUAAAACUGGAGUGACCACAACCAUCCCGCUCUCACUCCACCAUUACUUUUCAAUUCCAUUUACAUUAUCAUCUUUCCAAACACUCAACAAAUCUGGAAACCAAACUUCAACACCUGGAACUCCGAAAGAAUCCAUACUGGCCCCAUGAUUAAAAUAAUAUAACUGACAUCUCACUCUACGAUUCCAAACUUGCUUGAAACUCAAAACAUUUAGUGCCAUCAAUAAAAUUUAAAAUUCCCCGACUGUGGCACAACAAGAAGUUGUCACAACGCACUGACGAAUGACUUUUGUAAAACCAACAAUCCAAGUCAUUCUACUUAGUGCUUUAACAAACUUCAACUAACCCACAAUAGAGACCAAAAUCAUCAAAAAUCUUGUUAUUCAUCGACUACUAUUAUCCGUCAUUUUCAAAAAUAUACUUCCAUAAAUAAAGUUGUAGGAACCAGGAUAUGUGCUGACAUAACCAGCAUUAUCCCAAAUUGUUCCCACUGCUUUCUGUUGCGGAUAAAAAUAGUCGGUAAAUUGGCUUUAACUCAUGACUUAUCUAAAUUGACAUUUAACUUUUUAUGGAGCAAUGCCUUGCAACCCAAACACUAGCCACAAAUCUCACAAGACUAAUUCGCUCAAGCUUAGGUCCGCAAUAACUCAUAUAGGUACCCCAUUGAAUUACGCUUGGAUACCUCACCUCAUCAUUUCAACUAACUUUUACAUCAAUAGAAAACACCACUAUUUCAAACUUUCUUUCCAACUCGACUCUCUCAAAAGUCACAUAACUCAAUACCAAAAUAUACCAUCAAUCAAUUUUUGACUUCAAUCUUGCCCACUAAAAAUGGACAACUCCAAGGCAUUAAUCAUCAACAUUUCACCCAACAGAUUUGCACAAGAUGCUCACCUUAGCAUCUUAAUUUGAAAUCUUAAUCUUAACCCAAUCAAUCAUUGGAUACCUGAAAAGAAUGCUAACAAGCUUUUUCGUUCCCCACUCGCAAACUAACUCCAACCAUUAAUAUCAAAGAUAUUAAAUUAAUGAACCUUGGAAUAGGUGCAAACUAUACACCUUUUCAAAACUCGAAGGAUGAACACUCAAGAGGUCGAUGUACGGAGGCAUAGUCUUAGAGAUGUAGACAUUUAUGGCACACUACUGCCCAUAAAUAAAAGAAGAACAACUACAUCACAAACCUAAUCAACACAUAGUGUCUAAAGCAUAUAAUGCUAAUAGAUCCGCCGCGGUCGGACCGUCACUCUAUAGACACUAAGCAUGACCAAGAGUAUGAGGUAGUACUAAAAAGAGAAAAGAAAUGAAUAACCUAGUGCUCCGAUACCAACUGACAAGACCCACUCCGAAUUUCACCCUGAAACCCAGAGUAAGACGUGCGGGGACCACCUCCAAGAAAAAUUUACCGAAAAAUCGGCAUAACCUCCCUUGAAAAUGGACAACCCUUCCUAAUAAUACUUGCAAACACUUCUGAAAAUUUCAAUCCAACCUUAAACUCCUGCAGCCUCCGUGCUCCCCAAAUCACAACACCACCCAAAUUAUUUACUAAUCUAAACAAAUCUCAUAUCUAACCAUUUAUAGGUUCAGAGCAACUCUAACAGGAAGAAAGGAAACAUAAUAAAUUAACAAGCGGAAGCUAUAUGAUGACUAUGCCUCAUCUCCAUGUACGCCCGACCUUGACUAAGCUAACCUGCAAGCUGGGCAUUUUUAAAACGAAGGGCCCAGCGGAAAACAUUUGAAACACGUUAGAGUGAGUGGACAAAAAUAAAUUAACAAAUAAAAUAUUUAUGUUUCCGCAAAUCAAUUUCCAAGGAAAAUCGAAUGCAUGCUGCAAGCGAUAAAACUUUUAUCUCAUAAAUAUCGAGCCUCUCAGGCUCUAUAAAAUAUGUAUGUAUUACACACGUCCAUACUCCCUAUAUAAAUUCAUGGGUCAAUAUAGGGCUACUACACUCGCGUCCAACGCUCAAGUCACGCCUUAAUGCGGUGCUACACUACGCCAUUAAGGUGGACAGACGGGUGUAUAAAUAUGUGCUCAUACCCCCUAUAUGAAUUAAACACUCAUAUAGGGCUACUACGCUCGCGUCCAACGCUCACGUCACACCAUAAUGCGGCUAUAUGCUAUGCCAUUAAGGUGGACAGACACAUAGGGCUAGCUAGCAUUUUUAUACAUACUCUCCUCAUAAAUACAUAUUUAUAUCACCG
This 7645-nucleotide long non-coding RNA is filed under the name Fragaria vesca (wild strawberry). Its description in RNAcentral is "long non-coding RNA (FVES_LNC005491)". The record is from RNAcentral. Lineage: Eukaryota; Viridiplantae; Streptophyta; Magnoliopsida; Rosales; Rosaceae.